Molecule: long non-coding RNA, 608 nt
Organism: Sardina pilchardus (European sardine)
Lineage: Eukaryota; Metazoa; Chordata; Actinopteri; Clupeiformes; Clupeidae
Exons: 3
Source: RefSeq, a predicted model, not a curated record
GAUGUCCUGGCUGUGCGGUGCUGGUAACCGAUGAAGAGUCUGCUUUUUAAGCUCUAAAAGGUCAUUGCCAAGGUAUGCUGAUCUGCUGUCCGACUGCAAGUGUUCCUCCAACUGCACCUAUCUGAAGUAGAGCUGUACCAGUGACCUGGCCUGAUUGCCAUCGACUUGGAAGGCUCUGCGAGACUUUAGUCUGACCAAGAGCCUGUGCUAACACGGUUUCUCCCAGCGCUGGUUGACCCGCCUCAUUUAAGUGCCUCGAUUUGCUACUGGUCGAAGUCAGAAAGUGGUUUGCCGAGUUUAAACCAAUAACAACACUCUUUCCUCUGCCUUGAACAUGCCUCUACCCAGAGCCGUUGGAGCUGCUCAAAGUUGAUUGGUUCUCGACCAAAGGGGGCAGUUCCGCAGAUUUCGGGAAUUCAGAAAUCCUUCCUGAUUAGCAGUUGACCAGACCAGUGACAGCAACGCCGAAGGUGUUACGUCACUGGGAGGGUGUGCCAGGCUACCAGUGACCACAAGUUAAAGAUUUUUGCCCACCGACAUCAAGAAGUAGUCUGAGAUGCACCCAUGACAGCUGAAUUAAGACGAGGUGGCCAACAUUUUCAAUGUGC